UACGUAGGGGGCAAGCGUUGUCCGGAUUUAUUGGGCGUAAAGAGCGUGUAGGCGGCCAGGUAGGUCUGCUGUGAAAACUCGAGGCUUAACCUCGAGCUGUCGGCGGAAACCAUCUGGCUAGAGUCCGGAAGAGGAGAAUGGAAUUCCCGGUGUAGCGGUGAAAUGCGCAGAUAUCGGGAAGAACACCCGUGGCGAAGGCGGUUCUCUGGGACGGU
This 215-nucleotide ribosomal RNA is filed under the name uncultured bacterium. Its description in RNAcentral is "partial 16S ribosomal RNA". It matches the Rfam family "Bacterial small subunit ribosomal RNA", at positions 524 to 738 of the family's 1533-position model. The record is from RNAcentral.